This 209-nucleotide ribosomal RNA is filed under the name uncultured bacterium. RNAcentral's name for it is "partial 16S ribosomal RNA". It matches the Rfam family "Bacterial small subunit ribosomal RNA", at positions 1291 to 1500 of the family's 1533-position model. The record is from RNAcentral.
GUUCGGAUUGAAGGUUGAAAUUCGCCUUCAUGAAGUCGGAAUUGCUAGUAAUGGCAGGUCAGCAUACUGCCGUGAAUACGUUCCCGGGCCUUGUACACACCGCCCGUCACACCAUGAGAGUUGGAGAUACCCGAAGCCUAUGAGCUAACUUUUAGAGGCAGUAGUCGAAGGUAGAAUCAAUGAUUGGGGUGAAGUCGUAACAAGGUAGC